UACGAAGGGGGCUAGCGUUGUUCGGAAUCACUGGGCGUAAAGCGCACGUAGGCGGAUUUGUCAGUCAGGGGUGAAAUCCCGGGGCUCAACCUCGGAACUGCCUUUGAUACAGCACGUCUCGAGUCCGGAAGAGGUGGGUGGAAUUCCUAGUGUAGAGGUGAAAUUCGUAGAUAUUAGGAAGAACACCGGUGGCGAAGGCGGCCCACUGGUCCGGUACUGACGCUGAGGUGCGAAAGCGUGGGGAGCAAACAGG
Molecule: ribosomal RNA, 253 nt
Filed under: uncultured bacterium
Lineage: Bacteria
Description: partial 16S ribosomal RNA
Rfam family: Bacterial small subunit ribosomal RNA
Source: RNAcentral